UGCCCAGUAACUCCUCCCUACCUCCGCGUGGUGCCACCUGGGGUACGAGUAACCAUAGGGAAGAUCGGGUAACCAGCCUCGGUAGGACCUUCGUCGUAUGCUGACAGGGAAGG
RNAcentral lists this ribozyme (113 nucleotides) under Aedes aegypti (yellow fever mosquito). Its description in RNAcentral is "drz-agam-1 ribozyme". It matches the Rfam family "drz-agam-1 ribozyme". The record is from Rfam by way of RNAcentral. Lineage: Eukaryota; Metazoa; Arthropoda; Insecta; Diptera; Culicidae.